This 253-nucleotide ribosomal RNA is filed under the name uncultured bacterium. RNAcentral describes it as "partial 16S ribosomal RNA". It matches the Rfam family "Bacterial small subunit ribosomal RNA", at positions 524 to 776 of the family's 1533-position model. The record is from RNAcentral.
UACGUAGGGUGCAAGCGUUGUCCGGAAUUAUUGGGCGUAAAGAGCUCGUAGGCGGUUUGUCGCGUCUGCUGUGAAAACUCGGGGCUUAACUCCGGGCCUGCAGUGGGUACGGGCAGACUAGAGUGCGGUAGGGGAGAUCGGAAUUCCUGGUGUAGCGGUGAAAUGCGCAGAUAUCAGGAGGAACACCGGUGGCGAAGGCGGAACCCUGGGCCGUAACUGACGCUGAGGAGCGAAAGCAUGGGGAGCGAACAGG